This 550-nucleotide ribosomal RNA is filed under the name uncultured bacterium. RNAcentral describes it as "bacterial SSU rRNA". It matches the Rfam family "Bacterial small subunit ribosomal RNA", at positions 355 to 896 of the family's 1533-position model. The record is from RNAcentral.
UAGGGAAUCUUCGGCAAUGGGGGCAACCCUGACCGAGCAACGCCGCGUGAGUGAAGAAGGUUUUCGGAUCGUAAAGCUCUGUUGUAAGUCAAGAACGAGUGUGAGAGUGGAAAGUUCACACUGUGACGGUAGCUUACCAGAAAGGGACGGCUAACUACGUGCCAGCAGCCGCGGUAAUACGUAGGUCCCGAGCGUUGUCCGGAUUUAUUGGGCGUAAAGCGAGCGCAGGUGGUUUGAUAAGUCUGAAGUUAAAGGCUGUGGCUCAACCAUAGUUCGCUUUGGAAACUGUCAAACUUGAGUGCAGAAGGGGAGAGUGGAAUUCCAUGUGUAGCGGUGAAAUGCGUAGAUAUAUGGAGGAACACCGGUGGCGAAAGCGGCUCUCUGGUCUGUAACUGACGCUGAGGCUCGAAAGCGUGGGGAGCGAACAGGAUUAGAUACCCUGGUAGUCCACGCCGUAAACGAUGAGUGCUAGGUGUUGGAUCCUUUCCGGGAUUCAGUGCCGCAGCUAACGCAUUAAGCACUCCGCCUGGGGAGUACGACCGCAAGGUUG